Molecule: ribosomal RNA, 552 nt
Filed under: Dolycoris numidicus
Lineage: Eukaryota; Metazoa; Arthropoda; Insecta; Hemiptera; Pentatomidae
Description: partial large subunit ribosomal RNA
Rfam family: Bacterial large subunit ribosomal RNA
Source: RNAcentral
CCCCUUUUUUUCCAAAACAUGUCUUGGUGAUUUAAUUAUACUAAGUCUGGCCUGCUCAAUGAUUUUUUUAAAUAGCCGCAGUAUAUUGACUGUGCAAAGGUAGCAUAAUCAUUUGUCUUUUAAUUGAAGGCUUGUAUGAAUGGUUGGAUGAGGGAACGACUUUCUUUAUAUUAGGAAUUGAAUUUAAUUUUUUAGUUAAAAAGCUUAAAUUUAUAAGUGGGACGAGAAGACCCUAUAGAAUUUUAUUUUAUUGUAAUAAUUACUAUUUUAGGGUUUAAUUAUUAAAUGUUACAAUAAAAUUUUGUUGGGGUGAUGGUGAGAUUUUUAUAACUCUCAUAAUUUAUAUUUUUAUUAAUUAGUAUUUUUAAGAUCCUAUUUUAUGGAUAAUUAGUUUAAAUUACCUUAGGGAUAACAGCGUUAUUUCUUCUGAGAGUUCUUAUCGAUGAAGAAGUUUGCGACCUCGAUGUUGGAUUAAAAUUAGGAUUAGGUGUAGCAGCUUAAUUUCUAGGUCUGUUCGACCUUUAAAUUUUUACAUGAUUGGUUUUCAAACCG